RNA transcript from Beta vulgaris subsp. vulgaris (sugar beet), 2166 nucleotides. It is a transcript of the gene named protein FLX-like 1, with no coding region annotated. Lineage: Eukaryota; Viridiplantae; Streptophyta; Magnoliopsida; Caryophyllales; Amaranthaceae. The transcript is spliced from 9 exons. The record is from RefSeq and is a predicted model, not a curated record.
CAUCGUGAACGUAUUAAUCGACCAAAUAUGCUAAUUCGAAUAUAACUCGAACCUGAAACUAUCUGAUCGUAAAUUCGUAACCAACCCGACACAGUCGUUUAGAGAGCUUUGUUUCUGUGCUCGUCUGCUCGGCGUUUCCGGCGUCGAUUCUUUACAUUCUACUCUGUCUAAUAACCUAACCUUUCUUCUUUCUCUCUCAUACCUUUCUUCCCAAUUCCCACUUCUUCAAACCCGAAAAACCCUAACCCCCAAUUUCGACACCAUUUCUGCAAUUAAGGAACAUCAAUGUCAGGUAGAAAUUCAGGUCCGCCAAUGCCGAUGAAGAACAUGCCGCAUCAGCAUGGCAGGAUUCCACUUCCGCCUCAUGAACCGCCGCCAUAUGGCCGAAACAUGGGUCUAAUGCCGCACCCGGCACUUCUGGAGGAGAUGAGAGAGAGAGAAUCGCAGUUUGGGAUGGGCCCACCUAGGUCACUUCCCCCUCACCCUGCAAUUCUUGAGGAUCGUCUUGGAGUUCAACUUCAAGAAAUCCAAGGCUUAUUAGUUGAUAAUCAGAGGGUUGCUGCAACUCAUGUUGCAUUGAAGCAGGAAUUAGAGGCUGCUCAUUUUGAGUUGAAACGUAUGACACAUUAUGCAGAUUCGUUUCAUGCCGAGAAAGAUAUGCAGAUGAAAGAAAUGUUUGAUCGGUCUGGGAAAUUGGAGAUGGAUCUUCAAGCAGCAGAUGCAAUGAAGGGCGAACUCACGCGGGUUCAAUCUGAUAUUAAGGAGCUUACUGUUGUUAGGCAAGAGCUUAUGGCUCAGGUUCAAGGGAUGAAUCAAGAUUUGGGUAGAGCUUCGGCUGAUAUACAGCAAGUGCCGGCAUUAAAGGCGGAAAUCGAGCACAUGAGACAGGAGGUUGACAGAGCAAAGGCUGCUAUCGAGUACGAGAAGAAAGUUUAUGCCGAUAGCUAUGAACAAGGUCAAGCUAUGCAGAGCAAUCUGCUCUCGAUGGCUAGAGAGCUAGAGAAGCUUCGAGCUGAGGUUGCUAAUGCAGAGAAGAGAGCUCGUGCUGCAGCUGCAGUCGGCAAUCCUGCAGCAGCAGGUUAUAAUGGCAAUUAUAGCGCUCCUGAAGCUGGAUAUGCAGGAAAUCCCUACCCUGCUGCUGGCUAUGGAGUGAACCCAACGCAAACUGGUAUGGAGAAUUAUCCUCAAUAUGGACCUGGGCCUGGCAACUGGGGCGCAUAUAACAUGCAGCGUAGUCAAGGGCAUAGAUGAAGUCGGCUUGCAAGUAUGUGAUGAUGCAGUGUCCUGUUUCAUUUUGCAUGCUGGUCCUUCAGGUGGAGCGUGAUAGAUGCUUAGAUAUGGACCUUUUGCAAUGUUGAAGGCUCAAUCAUCCACUGAGUUUGAAAUAUGUUGAGCCGAAUUGCCAAUUUGGUAAUAAAAAAAGCGUCCAACUACUUUUAAAAGUUGCACUCUGAACUGACGAAUAGCACCACCGCACCACCGCUCACUGGUCCACCACAACACUCCGAAUUUCAAACUUCAAAUUUAGAGAGAAGAAAAUUGAAGUCGAGGUUUGUGGUUGUUUAGAUUUGGGAAUUUUGUUGUGGUGUUGAGUUUUUGAAGGUAGAUGUUAAAUUUUGGUUCUUUUGUUGUUGAAAUGUGGAGGUUACUUAUAUGAGUUUUGGUGAAAAGUCAUGAUUUUUUUUGGCAUGAAUUAGAUCUUCUUUACAAAGAUUAUCAAAGUGAUCAACGUUCAACAUCUUUACGAAGAUUAUCAAAGUGAUCAAAGUUCAACAUCACUACCUACUCUGCUAUUGGUGUUAGCUCAAAUUUUGAUAAUGUGUCCUUCAAGUGUCAGCAGCAUGGAGAAAUUCACUGACCUCCAACUGUGUGUUCUCAUUUGUUCUGAAUAAACAGGGAAUGACAGGACCAUUCUGCUGGGUGUGUUUAUUCGCCCUUUUCAGCUGCUCGAUCCAGUAUGCACCGGGUUCUUGGAGGCUUGAGCCACAGAGCCAGUAGUGGUUGGUGGUACUCAUGGUUAUCUUUGUAAAGUGUUUUUAGGUCAAUAAUAGAACUUUGUUGAUAUAGAAGUCAAUAUAAUGAAUUACCUUGUCACUUGUCGAUUGCUCGUGCAGUCAAAAAUUUGCUCACUUUUCUUUUCACUAAUGAAAAGUUGUUUAAAGACGA